GUAGGUGGCAAGCGUUGUCCGGAAUUAUUGGGCGUAAAGCGCGCGCAGGCGGUCCUUUAAGUCUGAUGUGAAAGCCCACGGCUCAACCGUGGAGGGUCGUUGGAAACUGGGGGACUUGAGUACAGAAGAGGAAAGCGGAAUUCCACGUGUAGCGGUGAAAUGCGUAGAGAUGUGGAGGAACACCAGUGGCGAAGGCGGCUUUCUGGUCUGUAACUGACGCUGAGGCGCGAAAGCGUGGGGAGCAAACAGGAUUAGAUACCCUGGUAGUCCACGCCGUAAACGAUGAGUGCUAAGUGUUAGGGGGUUUCCCGCCCCCUUAGUGCUGCAGCUAACGCAUUAAGCACUCCGCCUGGGGAGUACGGCCGCAAGGCUG
RNAcentral lists this ribosomal RNA (373 nucleotides) under uncultured organism. RNAcentral describes it as "partial 16S ribosomal RNA". It matches the Rfam family "Bacterial small subunit ribosomal RNA", at positions 527 to 896 of the family's 1533-position model. The record is from RNAcentral.